GAGUCUGAUGGAAAUAAUGUUGUGAACAUCAUAUAUGGAUCUCGAGGAAAGAAGUACCGAUAUUUUAAGCAAUCUUUUUGACAAGGAUGUCCCCUCACCCUUCCAUGAACAAGGAAACCGCCCUCCUAUUACAUGUUAGCAAUUUGUUGGAACGAUGCUCUUCCCGAACUUUUUUCUCAUGAGAAAUUGUGAGCAUCUUUUGCUUGACACAUGGUGUUCGGUUAAUAACUAAAACAGUGAAAACGCCAGAAGUUAAGGUAGAAAUAUCAUUAUAAUUUGUUUCUCUCUGCACUUUAAAUAAGGUUUAAAUAAUGAGGCCUCUCUUUUUUAAUUCUUUGACGAUCUGUCCAUUAUUUUUUAUCUCAUUAGUAAAGCCCUAAUUCUCAUCCUACAUCGGUACUUUGAGUUAUAAACAUUAACUGAUCAUAUAUUUGCACAAGGGAAUCACAUGAUGUCCAGGGUGUAGCUUAUAAUCUUCAGUGUAGCUUUCCCUAUAUAUGUUUUAUUCUAAUCUUUUUUUUUUUUUUUUUUUUUUGUGAAUGGUUGUUUAACAUCAAAAAAACAUUUGAGUCCUUAAAUAUUUGCCCAAAAAUAUUGUAAUAUAUUACAAGCCAUGGACCAAUCUUCCGGUAAAUUUUGUUUUAAUCAUGUCGUCUGCUGAAUGUUCAUUUGGCAUAGAAACUGGGAGUAAAUUAAUUUGAAAAGGUGCAUGUGAGUUGCUAAAUUAUGAUAGUGUCAUAGUGCUGGAAGUGUCAUAGGGUGUGCUAUUUGCUUUUGAAAAUAGCUUCUACGUUUUCUUUUGCGGAGCUGCUAAAAGAGCUAAUGGCAAUUGCUAGAACUUCUAUCGAUAUAAUUUUUUUAUUUAUAGUAACGAAGAUAAGCAAGUAGGCAAUCUAUUUUAGCAUUUCUUUUCUAUUGAAAAGGGAGUGAUAGUGUAUGUCUGGCAAAAUGGUUGAGCAGGGGUGUUUUACAUGAAAAGAUUAUUUAUAUUAUAUUACCAACCAACAGUUUUCUACCCAAAAUGUGGCCAUGAUGGAAAAAAUAAAGGUAGCAUAAGUAGUUUGAAUACAAAUAUUGCAGCAACAGGUUGUAACGGUCUUUGGAAUCGGUUGUUUUAGGGUUGUGAUGAUGACCAAGUCUUGAUCUGAGCCCAAUGUUCAUAGAAGAAGAGGUUUGGGUUACUCUCUUGAUGAUAUUUUAUGUUUCACGUGUAAAGUCUCUUAUUGUUUUCCAUUAAUGUGUUCUCUUAUCACACACGAGCAGGUAGUAUAUCUUAGCAAUUUUGCACGCACUUAUUAAUAUUUGUAUUUUUUUAUCUAUAUGUUGAUUUUCUUUCCUCAUGAUUGUAUUGUAGGGAUGGACCACAAUUACAGUUGAGUAGGGAUCCUGCUCUAUCAAGAGGAUUAAUGUUUUAAGCAGAACCAUUAUGGGACUCUUAGCAGAUGUUUAUGCAAUCGCUAUUGAUGAACUGAGAAAAUUACAUGUUAUUUUAGAUGAAAGGGUUCAUGAAGCGGUUUUUGAUCUUCUAGUAGAGAUUGCCAAAAUCAGAAUAACAAUCGAAAAAAUUAAAGAAGGUUAGACACACAUUAAGGAUGCAGCAGAUCGCUAUGGAUGUCAGUUGUGUGGAUCCAACAUAUCGCUAUGGAAGCAAACAUUGUGAUUCUUCUCUAAGCCAUGCUCUUUAGGUAAAAAAUCAGCAUUAUUCGAUGGUAGAUGAUCUAGAAGACAGUGAUAGCGAAGAUGAUGAAGAUGAACAAACCGGUUAGACUGAAAUCGAAAUUCGCCUCUUUGUUUUUCAUUCUAUCGCAUCAGGAAAUUUUCUGCUUGCAACAAAACAAUCGAAAGACCUUUUGUCCUAUAUGCAAUCGGUCACAAAGGUUGUCCGUUCGAUCUCGAGUGAUUAUGUUAUUUGGUUUCAAAUUUGAUGAUGAGGAAUUAUGGGUUUUCUUUCAGUGUCGUCUUAAGAGGUCUCGAAACCAUAAUUCGAUAGUUCUUCCUUAAUUGUCAACUGUUGACUAACGAUUUGAUGCUACCUGUGAAAGAAAAUUGUGAGUGUAAGUUAAACAUGAUAAUCGCUUUUUGGUGAUAUUGGGAUUAAUGAUUUCAUUCGUCGCAAUCGCUCUUCUACUUUUCCCUUUCGUAGUGCUAAUGAUAAUAGUAAUCUACGAUAAUGAAGAAACGGUAUCAAUCGGUAAAUGAAUGGUGGUUUUCUUAUUUGUUGAUUGAUGUGCAUCUUUUCUAACUGUUCUCUUUGCUUUUGAAAGGGACUAUCUGCCUCAAGCUUAUCUCUUUAUCUUGGAAAAUCUGAGCUAUCGUUUCUCCCUUCAAAUAUCCAGGUAUUACAAAGAAUUGUCUUGCUAUUGCAAUUACUUUUUACAUACAUACCCUUUGUUUUAUUUCGGCGUAUUCCGGAAAAGUGGGAAGCGAAUGCUGGCGUUGAUGUGUAACUGAAGGUGCGUGUAAGGAAUCCGUCAGUGUUGAUAGCAUAAUGGUUGUUAGACGUGAGCCUUCAAGAAAUGACUAUAGGAUUCUCAUAGCAGCUGGCUUGGCCAAAGCUUCUUAAUCAUCCAUUUGUUGCAGGUUCUCUUGAUAUUUGAGGCUGGGAUACUUAUCUUCUCUUUAUGAGUUCUAAGCGGGGUACCAUUUGAUUCAACAACAAAUGGUGGAGAUUUUAAAGAGGAACUGGUGAUAUUUAAUUUCUUUCCUUUGAUUUAAAAUGGAGGAUGUUGUGAUAAAGCAAGAUAAGCUGAAGAAAGACGAUUACAUGAUGGAAAAUCAAUUUUGGUAUGGACCAGAAAACGUUAACAGUUGGUGAUUAGCUUGCAACAUUGCUGAUGAAAAAGAUAGUGAUAGACUGGUAGUGCUGAGAUUAUUUUCUACGUGUAUCAUUUCAGUCCUUACAAAUCCCAAUUUGAGUUAGAAAGUAGUGGCGAGGUGAUGUUUGUUUU
This 2948-nucleotide long non-coding RNA is filed under the name Helianthus annuus (common sunflower). The record is from RNAcentral. Lineage: Eukaryota; Viridiplantae; Streptophyta; Magnoliopsida; Asterales; Asteraceae.